This is a long non-coding RNA of Sapajus apella (tufted capuchin), 856 nucleotides long. RefSeq lists it as uncharacterized. The transcript is spliced from 3 exons. The record is from RefSeq and is a predicted model, not a curated record. NCBI's taxonomy places the organism in Eukaryota, Metazoa, Chordata, Mammalia, Primates, Cebidae.
GCGGGGGCGGGGGGCGCGCGGAGGCCUCGGUUUCGCCCGGGGCAGGAGGCGGCCUGGGGGCAGCCACCGCCCUCCCCUGGCUUUCUCUGGGAGAGGGUGCCUGGGACACCGCUUUCUGACAUUUUUACAGCUCAGAGGUUCUUAAGAGUUUUGUUUCUCCAGUGGAAGUUAACAGGCUGACUUUGUAGGGACACGCAGCCGCCCAUAUAUGCGUGUAGUAAGGACCGAUUUGGAAGACUCGUAAGAAAACACAGCGUUCCUUAAGCAAACACGGGCGAUGGAUUUAAAUGCUCGGAAUUAGAACAAAUCAACGACUGCAGGUGAAAUGGCUUUGCUAACCGUAAAAUAUAUUAUUAUUCAACAUGAAAACAGGAAGUCCCCCGUGAGCACAUGGUUUCAAGACAUACAAGUUGGACUAGAAUUGUAACUGAGUAGAUAUCCUAUUUCUGAUUGUCAUCCUAGAAUGCCUGCUGUGACACUGACAUCAUCAAUUCACCUAAUACAUGGGCACAGUUGGACCUGCCCCCAAAGCCUGUGAUUUGAGAAAACACAAGAAAACAUUCCCCUAGCCUCCAAAACACUUAGGCAAAAUAAAAUGAAAAUUGGGACAUGCUUCCUCAUGGAAUAUGGAGUAAUAUUUAGUAAGAUAAGUAAUUUCCUCAUCCCUAUCACAUUGUAAUACAUAAGUAUUUCUAAAGCAGGCUUACAUCUUUUUGCCAUAAUUUCUAGAAGAAUUGAGAGGAUUAAUUCAGGAAUGUGCAACAGCCAAGUGGUAAAACCAGAAAUGUAAUUUCUUUUCUCUUUCUUUUGAGAUGGAGUCUCACUCUUAUCACCGAAGCUGCAGUGCAGUGGUGUG